GACGAACGCUGGCGGCGUGCCUAAUACAUGCAAGUCGAGCGCAGGAAGCCGUCUGAACCCUUCGGGGGGACGACGGUGGAAUGAGCGGCGGACGGGUGAGUAACACGUAAAGAACCUGCCCAUAGGUCUGGGAUAACCACGAGAAAUCGGGGCUAAUACCGGAUGUGUCAUCGGACCGCAUGGUCCGCUGACGAAAGGCGCUCCGGCGUCGCCCAUGGAUGGCUUUGCGGUGCAUUAGCUAGUUGGUGGGGUAACGGCCCACCAAGGCGACGAUGCAUAGCCGACCUGAGAGGGUGAUCGGCCACACUGGGACUGAGACACGGCCCAGACUCCUACGGGAGGCAGCAGUAGGGAAUCUUCCACAAUGGACGAAAGUCCGAUGGAGCAACGCCGCGUGAUCGAUGAAGGCUUUCGGGUCGUAAAGUUCUGUUGUAAGGGAAGAACAAGUGCCGCAGGCAAUGGCGGCACCUUGACGGUACCUUGCGAGAAAGCCACGGCUAACUACGUGCCAGCCGCCGCAGUAA
RNAcentral lists this ribosomal RNA (524 nucleotides) under uncultured bacterium. RNAcentral describes it as "partial 16S ribosomal RNA". It matches the Rfam family "Bacterial small subunit ribosomal RNA", at positions 28 to 523 of the family's 1533-position model. The record is from RNAcentral.